Molecule: ribosomal RNA, 439 nt
Filed under: uncultured bacterium
Lineage: Bacteria
Description: bacterial SSU rRNA
Rfam family: Bacterial small subunit ribosomal RNA
Source: RNAcentral
AGGAGGCAGCAGUGGGGAAUAUUGCACAAUGGGGGGAACCCUGAUGCAGCAACGCCGCGUGAAGGAUGAAGGUUUUCGGAUUGUAAACUUCUUUAGUCAGGGACGAAUAAAUGACGGUACCUGAAGAAUAAGCCACGGUUAACUACGUGCCAGCAGCCGCGGUAAUACGUAGGUGGCGAGCGUUGUCCGGAAUUACUGGGUGUAAAGGGCGUGUAGGCGGGAAUGUAAGUCAGAUGUGAAAUCCCAGGGCUUAACUCUGGAGCUGCAUCUGAAACUAUGUUUCUUGAGUGCCGGAGAGGAAAGCGGAAUUCCUAGUGUAGCGGUGAAGUGCGUAGAUAUUAGGAGGAACACCAGUGGCGAAGGCGGCUUUCUGGACGGUAACUGACGCUGAGGCGCGAAAGCGUGGGGAGCAAACAGGAUUAGAAACCCGGGUAGUCCG